AACGAACGCUGGCGGCAUGCCUAACACAUGCAAGUCGAACGAACUCUUCGGAUUUAGUGGCGGACGGGUGAGUAACACGUGGGAACGUGCCUUUAGGUUCGGAAUAACUCAGGGAAACUUGUGCUAAUACCGAAUGUUCCCUUCGGGGGAAAGAUUUAUCGCCUUUGGAUCGGCCCGCGUCGGAUUAGCUAGUUGGUGAGGUAAAGGCCCACCAAGGCGACGAUCAGUAGCUGGUCUGAGAGGAUGAUCAGCCACAGUGGGACUGAGACACGGCCCAAACUCCUACGGGAGGCAGCAGUGGGGAAUAUUGCGCAAUGGGCGAAAGCCUGACGCAGCAAUGCCGCGUGAAUGAUGAAGGCCUUAGGAUUGUAAAAUUCUUUCACCGGGGACGAUAAUGACGGUACCCGGAGAAGAAGCCCCGGCUAACUUCGUG
This 433-nucleotide ribosomal RNA is filed under the name uncultured bacterium. RNAcentral describes it as "partial 16S ribosomal RNA". It matches the Rfam family "Bacterial small subunit ribosomal RNA", at positions 29 to 507 of the family's 1533-position model. The record is from RNAcentral.